GGUGGGGUACCCAAGUGGCCAACGGGAGCAGACUGUAAAUCUGCCGGCGUAACGCCUACGAAGGUUCGAAUCCUUCCCCCACCA
RNAcentral lists this transfer RNA (84 nucleotides) under Gemmatimonadota bacterium. Its description in RNAcentral is "tRNA-Tyr". It matches the Rfam family "tRNA". From Rfam's summary of the family: Transfer RNA (tRNA) molecules are approximately 80 nucleotides in length. Their secondary structure includes four short double-helical elements and three loops (D, anti-codon, and T loops). The record is from RNAcentral. Lineage: Bacteria; Pseudomonadati; Gemmatimonadota.